ACUGCCCAGUCCUUGCUUAAUUGUAACAAUAUAGAGAUUAGCAUGGCCCCUUUGCAAGGAUGACAUGCAAAUUCAUCAAGAGUUCCAUAUUUAA
Molecule: small nuclear RNA, 94 nt
Organism: Callithrix jacchus (white-tufted-ear marmoset)
Lineage: Eukaryota; Metazoa; Chordata; Mammalia; Primates; Cebidae
Source: Ensembl